GAUCAGUUGCUAUGCUGUGUGGGAAGUAG
Molecule: non-coding RNA, 29 nt
Filed under: Cricetulus griseus (Chinese hamster)
Lineage: Eukaryota; Metazoa; Chordata; Mammalia; Rodentia; Cricetidae
Source: RNAcentral